This 73-nucleotide transfer RNA is filed under the name Canis lupus familiaris (dog). It matches the Rfam family "tRNA". From Rfam's summary of the family: Transfer RNA (tRNA) molecules are approximately 80 nucleotides in length. Lineage: Eukaryota; Metazoa; Chordata; Mammalia; Carnivora; Canidae. The record is from Rfam by way of RNAcentral. RNAcentral also lists the same sequence under 2 other names.
GCCUGGUUGGCUCAUUUGUUAGAGCACGAGACUUUUGAUCUUGGAGUUGUGAGUUCAAGCCACAUGUUGGGUG